RNAcentral lists this long non-coding RNA (223 nucleotides) under Musa acuminata (dwarf banana). RNAcentral describes it as "long non-coding RNA (MACU_LNC008761)". Lineage: Eukaryota; Viridiplantae; Streptophyta; Magnoliopsida; Zingiberales; Musaceae. The record is from RNAcentral.
GCAAAAAUGGGUAACAAAACUUCUUGGAUUUGAUUAUGAAAUAACUUACAAAAAGGAGAAAGAGAAUGUUCUUGUAGAUGCGCUUUCGCAGCUACUCGAGCAAGCUGGAGUUUCAGUCAUUUCCUUUCCGAUCAACGACUUCCUUGAGGAUAUUAAGAUGGAAUGGCAGGAAGAUUCAGAGACUAGUAAGAUUAUAAAAAAAUUGGAGGAAGCACCAAGCUCC